This 223-nucleotide unclassified non-coding RNA is filed under the name Colpoma sp. RNAcentral describes it as "partial contains small subunit ribosomal RNA, internal transcribed spacer 1, and 5.8S ribosomal RNA". The stretch from base 1 to 46 matches the Rfam family "Eukaryotic small subunit ribosomal RNA", at positions 1786 to 1831 of the family's 1831-position model. The record is from RNAcentral. Lineage: Eukaryota; Fungi; Ascomycota; Leotiomycetes; Rhytismatales; Rhytismataceae.
AAGUCGUAACAAGGUUUCCGUAGGUGAACCUGCGGAAGGAUCAUUAAAGAAUACCGGCUUCGCAGCCACUAUUCUCACCCUUUGCAUACCAAACUUUGUUGCUUUGGCAGGCCCCUGGCUUCGGCUGGACCGCGCCUGCCAGAGGACCCCUAACUCUUGAAUCUCUGCUGUCUGAGUACUAUCUAAUAGUUAAAAACUUUCAACAACGGAUCUCUUGGUUCUG